This 484-nucleotide ribosomal RNA is filed under the name uncultured bacterium. Its description in RNAcentral is "bacterial SSU rRNA". It matches the Rfam family "Bacterial small subunit ribosomal RNA", at positions 30 to 507 of the family's 1533-position model. The record is from RNAcentral.
AUUGAACGCUGGCGGAAUGCUUUACACAUGCAAGUCGAACGGCAGCACGGACUUCGGUCUGGUGGCGAGUGGCGAACGGGUGAGUAAUACAUCGGAACGUGCCCAGUCGUGGGGGAUAACGUAGCGAAAGUUACGCUAAUACCGCAUACGAUCUACGGAUGAAAGCGGGGGACCGUAAGGCCUCGCGCGAUUGGAGCGGCCGAUGUUAGAUUAGGUAGUUGGUGGGGUAAAGGCUCACCAAGCCGACGAUCUAUAGCUGGUCUGAGAGGAUGAUCAGCCACACUGGGACUGAGACACGGCCCAGACUCCUACGGGAGGCAGCAGUGGGGAAUUUUGGACAAUGGGCGCAAGCCUGAUCCAGCCAUUCCGCGUGCAGGACGAAGGCCUUCGGGUUGUAAACUGCUUUUGUACAGAACGAAAAGCUCUGGGUUAAUACCCUGGGGUCAUGACGGUACUGUAAGAAUAAGCACCGGCUAACUACGUA